This 355-nucleotide ribosomal RNA is filed under the name uncultured bacterium. RNAcentral's name for it is "bacterial SSU rRNA". It matches the Rfam family "Bacterial small subunit ribosomal RNA", at positions 28 to 409 of the family's 1533-position model. The record is from RNAcentral.
GAUGAACGCUGGCGGUAUGCCUAACACAUGCAAGUCGUACGAGAGUUUUUAACUCUAGUGGCGGACGGGUGAGUAACACGUGAGAAUUUGCCUUUAGGAGGGGGACAACAAUUGGAAACGAAUGCUAAUACCCCAUAUGCUUUCGAGUGAAAUGGAUUUUAUCCGCCUAGAGAGAAGCUCGCGGCUGAUUAGCUUGUUGGUAAGGUAAGAGCUUACCAAGGCGACGAUCAGUAUCUGGUUUGAGAGGACGAUCAGACACACUGGAACUGAGACACGGUCCAGACUCCUACGGAGGCAGCAGUGGGGAAUUUCCGCAAUGGGCGAAAGCCUGACGGAGCAAUACCGCGUGAGGGAG